GGCCUCGUAACUCAGCUGGUAGAGCGUGCGCUGUACAAAAGCGGUUGCGGCGUCCAUGUGUGGGUUCGAAUCCCACCGAGGCCA
Molecule: transfer RNA, 84 nt
Filed under: Echinostoma caproni
Lineage: Eukaryota; Metazoa; Platyhelminthes; Trematoda; Plagiorchiida; Echinostomatidae
Rfam family: tRNA
About the family: Transfer RNA (tRNA) molecules are approximately 80 nucleotides in length. Their secondary structure includes four short double-helical elements and three loops (D, anti-codon, and T loops). Further hydrogen bonds mediate the characteristic L-shaped molecular structure. tRNAs have two regions of fundamental functional importance: the anti-codon, which is responsible for specific mRNA codon recognition, and the 3' end, to which the tRNAs corresponding amino acid is attached (by aminoacyl-tRNA synthetases). tRNAs cope with the degeneracy of the genetic code in two manners: having more than one tRNA (with a specific anti-codon) for a particular amino acid; and 'wobble' base-pairing, i.e. permitting non-standard base-pairing at the 3rd anti-codon position.
Source: Rfam by way of RNAcentral